UUGUGCUACCAUGCUACCCUGAACACGCUGAUCCUGCCUGAUCUCGGAAGCUAAGCAGGGUCGGGCCUGGUUAGUACUUGGAUGGGAGACAACCUAGGAAGACCAGGUGCUGUGGGUG
This 118-nucleotide ribosomal RNA is filed under the name Pteropus alecto (black flying fox). Lineage: Eukaryota; Metazoa; Chordata; Mammalia; Chiroptera; Pteropodidae. The record is from RNAcentral.